Molecule: ribosomal RNA, 460 nt
Filed under: uncultured bacterium
Lineage: Bacteria
Description: partial 16S ribosomal RNA
Rfam family: Bacterial small subunit ribosomal RNA
Source: RNAcentral
CCUACGGGAGGCAGCAGUGAGGAAUAUUGGUCAAUGGCCGGAAGGCUGAACCAGCCAUGCCGCGUGAAGGUCAGUGCCCUAUGGGCGUUAAACUUCUUUUGUGCGGGAGCAAUAAUGGUCACGUGUGGCCAGACGAGAGUACCGUACGAAUAAGCAUCGGCUAACUCCGUGCCAGCAGCCGCGGUAAUACGGGGGAUGCAAGCGUUAUCCGGAUUUAUUGGGGUUAAAGGGUACGUAAGCGGUGAGUUAAGUCAGCGGUGAAAUGCCCCCGCUCAACGGGGUGAAGUGCCAUUGAUACUGCCUUGCUUGAAUGCGGAUGACGUGGGAGGAAUGUGUGGUGUAGCGGUGAAAUGCAUAGAUAUCACACAGAACACCGAUUGCGAAGGCAUCUCCCGAAUCCGCGAUUGACGCUGAUGCACGAAAGCGUGGGUAUCAAACAGGAUUAGAUACCCCGGUAGUC